RNAcentral lists this ribosomal RNA (433 nucleotides) under uncultured bacterium. Its description in RNAcentral is "partial 16S ribosomal RNA". It matches the Rfam family "Bacterial small subunit ribosomal RNA", at positions 29 to 507 of the family's 1533-position model. The record is from RNAcentral.
AACGAACGCUGGCGGCAUGCCUAACACAUGCAAGUCGAACGAGACCUUCGGGUCUAGUGGCGCACGGGUGCGUAACGCGUGGGAACCUGCCUUUAGGUUCGGAAUCACUCAGAGAAAUUUGAGCUAAUAAAGGUUGAUGUCUUCGGACCAAAGAUUUUUCGCCUUUAGAUGGGCCCGCGUUGGUUUAGCUGGUUGGUGGGGUAAAGGCCUACCAAGGCGACGAUCCAUAGCUGGUCUGAGAGGAUGAUCAGCCACACUGGGACUGAGACACGGCCCAGACUCCUACGGGAGGCAGCAGUGGGGAAUAUUGGACAAUGGGCGAAAGCCUGAUCCAGCAAUGCCGCGUGAGUGAUGAAGGCCGUAGGGUUGUAAAGCUCUUUUACCCGAGAUGAUAAUGACAGUAUCGGGAGAAUAAGCACCGGCUAACUCCGUG